GUUGAAGUAACACUCCCGCAGAAACUUAAGUCGAAAGAAUAACGACUCGAAGUUAUAGGAGCAAAGGAAUCCAAUGUCACAGUUAAUUUACUUUUACAGUAGGAUAAUCUUUUAUACAAGUUCCGAAUGCCAGCAUUACAAUCUACCGCUGCGUUACUGGCGCAAAGUCUGCUAUGAGGGGUAGAACAACCAUUAUACAGCACAACUGAGAUUCCUCAUGUCUAAAGACAGAAAAUGGCAUGGAGUUUCCGAUGUCUAUGGGUUCCGUGGACCACUUGACAGCAGUCGUAUUUGGAGCUCGUUCACGCGUCCAGUGCAACGCGAACCCACUGUGAGUAUUCUAAGCAUCGUUCGACGGAGAGCGAACGCAAUGUCAUUUUUCAUACAAAUCCCUCAUAAUCUUCGAAAGGUCGGCAAAUGAGACCGUUUAAUAACGAUGUAGGCCGCAAAAAAAAUUUCAAACAACCAAAUAAAGUAACGGAAUAAGACCGCAUUGAGAAGACCUUAAGCUUGGGAAAGGAGCGCGAAACCGCAAAAGUUCAAACAUGAAAUAAUAGAAACAAAGUAUUUGUGUUUAUAUUGCGAACACGGUUCGAAUAUAAUACAUUUUAGGAAAUUUCUAGAAUCAAACGGCAUUGAAACGAAGGCUUUUUUUAUUUAUUAAAUGAAGCGGAUAAGCGGAAUAUUAGAAGUGCUUCUGUGUCUGUAAAUGUCUAAAAGUGCUAACGUAUUACGAGUAUGUAUAGUAACGUAUUUUUAAGCUAUUGUGUUGCUUUUAUCACGGCUUUAAGCGUGGCGACCGAAUCAAGAAAUUCCGUAACGAAAAUAAAACCUAACACCCCCCACUCCGCCUACCAUGUAGGUAGCUCGCGUUCAACACAUUCACACGUUGCGCUUGUGUAAUGUUUGUGAAAAAGCGCGCGGCGUGACGUCGCACUGCACAAAAGUCUGCCCCUCUCUCUCUCGCGUGGUCUAGCUUAUGAGUGUGAAGGGGACAGUUAAUGUUUUGCUUUUGUUAAUGUUUAUAAAUAUAGCCUGGUCUUAUUUUAUUGUUUUAAUAUUAAAUUAUUAUUGUCUAAAAUUGCAUAAGUUGAUAAAAAAUGCUACGCAAUAGCUUUACCGCGGCAGUUACCGAGUGCCACACCUGUUUUUUUUUAUAGUAACGUAUUUUAAUAUGAUUUUUUAUGUAUGUUGCUUUGUCCAACUAUAAAUAAAUAAAUACAUUAUUUUC
Molecule: long non-coding RNA, 1231 nt
Organism: Bombyx mori (domestic silkworm)
Lineage: Eukaryota; Metazoa; Arthropoda; Insecta; Lepidoptera; Bombycidae
Exons: 2
Source: RefSeq, a predicted model, not a curated record